GCGGGUGUGGUGUAAUGGUAGCCACGAGAGACUCAAAAUCUCUUGGAUUCACGUCCGUGGGGGUUCAAGUCCCUCCACCCGCACCA
Molecule: transfer RNA, 86 nt
Filed under: Bdellovibrio bacteriovorus
Lineage: Bacteria; Pseudomonadati; Bdellovibrionota; Bdellovibrionia; Bdellovibrionales; Pseudobdellovibrionaceae
Also listed under: 11 other names
Description: tRNA-Leu
Rfam family: tRNA
About the family: Transfer RNA (tRNA) molecules are approximately 80 nucleotides in length. Their secondary structure includes four short double-helical elements and three loops (D, anti-codon, and T loops).
Source: RNAcentral